Pelobates cultripes (western spadefoot toad) is the source of this 72-nucleotide non-coding RNA. The record is from the annotation of a GenBank genome assembly. Lineage: Eukaryota; Metazoa; Chordata; Amphibia; Anura; Pelobatidae.
UGGUACAGAGAAGAUUAGCAUGGCCCCUGCGCAAGGAUAACACACAAAGUUUGUGAAGCAUUUCACAGAUUC